UGAAGCAUAAAUUACUCUAGCUUAUGGACUGCUGAUAGUACUUCAGCAUGAUCGGUUUUCCUUAGAUGUCAAUACUUUUGUGUUAUAUCCAUUCUACUUGACUGUUGACUGAGAGCUAUUCACCAACAAAUGCAACGUGGGAGUUUCCAAUCUGAACACCUGUAUAAACUAUAUUCUAAAAUGGAUGCUGAAUGUCUUUAAGCCCUGAAAAUGUCAAAUGUGAUCACAUUUUACUUGUUUGACCAAGGUAAUGAGAUUUCCUGAAUAUAAAACAGGCUUUGAGGUUAUGGAGGCUGUGAUGCAUUUACUUUGAAAGACUUGUAUGUGGUAUGGUCUAAAGAGCCCCUUGUUUGCAGUAGCAGUGUAUAAUCUGUCUUAAUUACUGUCAGCACUUCUUUUGUAGAUGUGCAUGGAGAAGCUGUGAUUUAUCAUCUGGGUCUACUGCUGGAUAAUCAAAAUUCAGAAAUAACUAGAAAGACUGGAUCCUCCAUUUGGCAUAAGGAAUUUCCCCUCUACUCAUGACCUACCUCACUAAAAGCAGAAAAAUAGUGUGGACCACUGCAACGUAUCUCCAAAUGGGGCUUUUUGCUCAAUGGCUUUAUAUAACUGGAGGUCACUAGUGCAGCUAGCGGAAGAAGCUGCUGCUUAAAUGAAAUCAUGAAGAGAAGUUCUGUGAUGCAGAGCCACUGAACUCUUUUUUACUAAAAGUUUUCAAAUCAGAACAUGAGAAAAUUCUGAGAAAUGGAAAGGAGAUUUAACUUUUCACUUUAAGUUUACUUGCUGUUACAAAAUCAUUUUCAUUUCUAUUUUUUAAUUUUCAAGAAGCUUUUCCAUACGGGGAUGGAAUACAGAAUGAAUAGCCCUACAGGUUAUCAGGGCAGCACAGCGCAGGCGUGGGGCUCCUGUUGGCAGAGCCACCACUUGUUUCCUUCCUACCACAGAACCCGAUUGAUCUGACUUUGACGGAUCCCUGCGGAUUGAUUCUCUUUGCUGCCAGAGCGCGUUUCUCCUCUGCUUUCCUCCCAGCAGUUCUGACUCAACAAGUUUCUGCAGCCGUAGAGAGUCAGGCUCAAUAUUUUCCUGUAUGAUUAGAAUUUUUUUCCAGUUUCUGUACUCCUGGAGAAUUGCAGAAAGCUGAUCCCUGUACUUUCUGCAUUAACCCGAUGUAGUUCUGUUUCUGAAGGAGCAUGGAGUGGCCUCUCUGGAGGAGCCAUACAGACACUCUUUAG
RNAcentral lists this long non-coding RNA (1229 nucleotides) under Gallus gallus (chicken). Its description in RNAcentral is "lncRNA (ENSGALG00010014268.1)". Lineage: Eukaryota; Metazoa; Chordata; Aves; Galliformes; Phasianidae. The record is from RNAcentral.